This 792-nucleotide ribosomal RNA is filed under the name uncultured bacterium. RNAcentral describes it as "bacterial SSU rRNA". It matches the Rfam family "Bacterial small subunit ribosomal RNA", at positions 8 to 796 of the family's 1533-position model. The record is from RNAcentral.
AGAGUUUGAUCCUGGCUCAGGAUGAACGCUGGCGGCGUGCCUAACACAUGCAAGUCGAGCGUGAUUGUUAUGAGUAGAGAUUUCGGUCAAAGCGAGUAACAUGAAAGCGGCGGACGGGUGAGUAACGCGUGGGCAACCUGCCCCAUACACGAGGAUAGCCACUGGAAACGGUGAUUAAUACUCGAUAAGACCACACUGCCACAUGGUAGAGCGGCCAAAGAUUUAUCGGUAUGGGAUGGGCCCGCGUCUGAUUAGCUAGUUGGUGAGGUAACGGCUCACCAAGGCGACGAUCAGUAACCGACCUGAGAGGGCGGACGGUCACACUGGAACUGAGACACGGUCCAGACUCCUACGGGAGGCAGCAGUGGGGAAUAUUGCACAAUGGGCGCAAGCCUGAUGCAGCAACGCCGCGUGAGUGAAGAAGGCCUUCGGGUCGUAAAGCUCUGUCCUGUGGGACGAAACAAAUGACGGUACCACAGGAGGAAGCCCCGGCUAACUACGUGCCAGCAGCCGCGGUAAUACGUAGGGGGCAAGCGUUAUCCGGAAUCACUGGGCGUAAAGGGUGCGUAGGUGGUUCUUCAAGUCAGAAGUGAAAGGCAGUGGCUUAACUCCGGCGCUGCAUUUGAAACUGCGGGUCUUGAGUGUUGGAUAGGGAAGUGGAAUUCCUAGUGUAGCGGUGAAAUGCGUAGAUAUUAGGAGGAACACCAGUGGCGAAGGCGACUUCCUGGACAACAACUGACGCUGAGGCGCGAAAGCGUGGGGAGCAAACAGGAUUAGAUACCCUGGUAGUCC